This 253-nucleotide ribosomal RNA is filed under the name uncultured bacterium. RNAcentral describes it as "partial 16S ribosomal RNA". It matches the Rfam family "Bacterial small subunit ribosomal RNA", at positions 524 to 776 of the family's 1533-position model. The record is from RNAcentral.
UACGGGGGGGGCAAGCGUUGUUCGGAAUUACUGGGCGUAAAGGGCUCGUAGGCGGCCAACUAAGUCAGACGUGAAAUCCCUCGGCUUAACCGGGGAACUGCGUCUGAUACUGGAUGGCUUGAAUCCGGGAGAGGGAUGCGGAAUUCCAGGUGUAGCGGUGAAAUGCGUAGAUAUCUGGAGGAACACCGAUGGCGAAGGCAGGUCUCUGGGCCGAUACUGACGCUGAGGAGCGAAAGCGUGGGGAGCGAACAGG